This 496-nucleotide ribosomal RNA is filed under the name uncultured bacterium. RNAcentral describes it as "partial 16S ribosomal RNA". It matches the Rfam family "Bacterial small subunit ribosomal RNA", at positions 29 to 507 of the family's 1533-position model. The record is from RNAcentral.
AUGAACGCUGGCGGCUUGCCUAAUCCCUUCAAGUCGAGCGAACGGACGAGAAUCUUUCUUCUCUUAUGUUAGCGGCGUACUGUUUAUUAACACUUUUUUAACCUACCUAUCAUACUUGGAUAACUUCGGGAAACCGGAGCUAAUUCCUGAUUAUUUUUUUAACCUCCUGUUUCACUAGUUAAAUACUGUCUUUCUGUCACUUAUACAUUGAUCCGCGCUGCAUUAGCUAGUUGGUAAGGUAACGGCUUACCAAGGCAACGAUGCAUAGACGACCUUAGAGGGUGAGCGGGCACACUGGAACAGAGAAACGGUCAAGAGUCCUAAGGGAGGCAGCAGUAGGGAAUAUUACGCAAUGGGCGAAAGCCUGACGGAGCAAAGCCGCGUGAGUGAUGAAGGUCUUCGGAUCGUAAAACUCUGUUAUUAGGGAAGAACAGAUGUGUAAGUAACUGUGCACAUCUUGACGGUAACAAAUCAGAAAGCCACGGCUAACUACGUG